GUAACGGCGAGUGAAGCGGUAACAGCUCAAAUUUGAAAUCUGGCUCCUCGGGGCCCGAAUUGUAAUUUGUAGAAGAUGCUUUGGGUCUGGGCCUGGCCUAAGUUCCUUGGAACAGGACGUCGUAGAGGGUGAGAAUCCCGUAUGCGGCUGGCGCCCGUGCCCGUGUAAAGCUCUUUCAACGAGUCGAGUUGUUUGGGAAUGCAGCUCUAAAUGGGUGGUAAAUUUCAUCUAAAGCUAAAUAUUGGCCAGAGACCGAUAGCGCACAAGUAGAGUGAUCGAAAGAUGAAAAGCACUUUGGAAAGAGAGUUAAACAGUACGUGAAAUUGUUGAAAGGGAAGCGCUGGCAACCAGACUUGGGCGCUGUUGAUCCGCUAGGGUUCUCUCUAGGGCACUCGGCAGUGCGCAGGCCAGCAUCGGUUUGGGGGGUUGGAGAAUGGCUGGUGGAAUGUGGCUGUCUUUGGGCAGUGUUAUAGCCACCGGUGGCAUGCAGCCUCCCCGGACCGAGGACCGCGCUUCGGCUAGGAUGCUGGCGUAAUGGUUGUCAGCGACCCGUCUUGAAACACGGACCAAGGAGUCUAACAUCUAUGCGAGUGUUUGGGUGUUAAACCCAUACGCGGAAUGAAAGUGAACGUAGGUGAGAACCCGCAAGGGUGCAUCAUCGACCGAUCCUGAUGUCUUCGGAUGGAUUUGAGUAAGAGCAUAGCUGUUGGGACCCGAAAGAUGGUGAACUAUGCCUGAAUAGGGUGAAGCCAGAGGAAACUCUGGUGGAGGCUCGCAGCGGUUCUGACGUGC
Molecule: ribosomal RNA, 792 nt
Filed under: Podosphaera cayratiae
Lineage: Eukaryota; Fungi; Ascomycota; Leotiomycetes; Helotiales; Erysiphaceae
Description: eukaryotic LSU rRNA
Rfam family: Eukaryotic large subunit ribosomal RNA
Source: RNAcentral